This 514-nucleotide ribosomal RNA is filed under the name uncultured bacterium. RNAcentral describes it as "bacterial SSU rRNA". It matches the Rfam family "Bacterial small subunit ribosomal RNA", at positions 34 to 518 of the family's 1533-position model. The record is from RNAcentral.
CGCUGGCGGCGUGCCUAAUACAUGGCAAGUCGAACGGUCUUUCUAUGGAAGCUUGCUUCCACUGAGAAGAUAGUGGCGAACGGGUGAGUAACACGUGGGUAACCCUGCCCAUAAGAGGGGGAUAACAUCCGGAAACGGGUGCUAAUACCGCAUAGUUUUCUUUGAUCGCAUGAUUGAGAAAGGAAAGACGGCCUUUGUGCUGUCGCUUAUGGAUGGACCCGCGGCGUAUUAGUUAGUUGGUGAGGUAACGGCUCACCAAGACGAUGAUACGUAGCCGACCUGAGAGGGUGAUCGGCCACAUUGGGACUGAGACACGGCCCAAACUCCUACGGGAGGCAGCAGUAGGGAAUCUUCCGCAAUGGGCGAAAGCCUGACGGAGCCGACGCCGCGUGAACGAAGAAGGCCGUGAGGUUGUAAAGUUCUUUUCGGGAGGGGGAACAACCGUGGCAGGGAAUGGCCGCGGGAUGACGUGAAUCCCGGAAUAAGCCCCGGCUAACUACGUGCCAGCCGCCGC